CACAUAUUACCUUCGUCCCAAAAAGCUUGUCUUAGAUUUAUCUAGAUGCAGAUGUACCUGACACUAAAACGUCUCUAGAUACAUCCGUAUCUAGACAAAUCUAAGACAGGCUGUUAGAUACAUCCGUAUCUAGACAAAUCUAAGACAAGCUUUUUGGGAUGGAAGGAGUACAUA
Non-coding RNA from Hordeum vulgare subsp. vulgare (domesticated barley), 174 nucleotides. The record is from Rfam. Lineage: Eukaryota; Viridiplantae; Streptophyta; Magnoliopsida; Poales; Poaceae.